Molecule: ribosomal RNA, 482 nt
Filed under: uncultured bacterium
Lineage: Bacteria
Description: partial 16S ribosomal RNA
Rfam family: Bacterial small subunit ribosomal RNA
Source: RNAcentral
UUGAACGCUGGCGGCAGGCCUCACACAUGCAAGUCGCGCGGAUGAAGGGAGCUUGCUCCUGGAUUCAGCGGCGGACGGGUGAGUAAUGCCUAGGAAUCUGCCUGGUAGUGGGGGAUAACGUCCGGAAACGGGCGCUAAUACCGCAUACGUCCUGAGGGAGAAAGUGGGGAUCUUCGGACCUCACGCUAUCAGAUGAGCCUAGGUCGGAUUAGCUAGUUGGUGGGGUAAAGGCCUACCAAGGCGACGAUCCGUAACUGGUCUGAGAGGAUGAUCAGUCACACUGGAACUGAGACACGGUCCAGACUCCUACGGGAGGCAGCAGUGGGGAAUAUUGGACAAUGGGCGAAAGCCUGAUCCAGCCAUGCCGCGUGUGUGAAGAAGGUCUUCGGAUUGUAAAGCACUUUAAGUUGGGAGGAAGGGCAGUAAGUUAAUACCUUGCUGUUUUGACGUUACCAACAGAAUAAGCACCGGCUAACUUCGUG